This 46-nucleotide ribosomal RNA is filed under the name Steinernema abbasi. RNAcentral describes it as "partial 28S ribosomal RNA". The record is from RNAcentral. Lineage: Eukaryota; Metazoa; Nematoda; Chromadorea; Rhabditida; Steinernematidae.
ACAACAUCAAUUUCAGUGAGAUUACCCGCCAACAUCUAAACGCUAA